UACGUAGGGUGCAAGCGUUGUCCGGAAUUAUUGGGCGUAAAGAGCUCGUAGGCGGUUUGUUGCGUCGGCUGUGAAAACCCGGGGCUCAACCCCGGGCCUGCAGCCGAUACGGGCAGACUAGAGUUCGGCAGGGGAGACUGGAAUUCCUGGUGUAGCGGUGAAAUGCGCAGAUAUCAGGAGGAACACCGGUGGCGAAGGCGGGUCUCUGGGCCGAUACUGACGCUGAGGAGCGAAAGCGUGGGGAGCGAACAGG
Molecule: ribosomal RNA, 253 nt
Filed under: uncultured bacterium
Lineage: Bacteria
Description: partial 16S ribosomal RNA
Rfam family: Bacterial small subunit ribosomal RNA
Source: RNAcentral